AACAAGGCCCCGGCUAUACCUCAAGUACAAUACAUAAGAAACAAAAGAUGCAUAACCCCGAAACGAAAUGGGGCUCGCCAAGACUGCUGGGAGGAGGAUGUACUACUUACGCUGAUCAACACUGCCUGCUAUGGAACCACCUGCAUCCAUUUAAGAGGUAGUGCCUCCGGCAAAAAGGAUAUUAGUACUGUCGAAAGGUACUAGUAUGUAUAACUAAACACCAUCUCAUUAGAUUGAACAAUAAUACAAGAGGGAAUAAUCAUGAAAUCAAUAGGAACCUUAGACAAUACAAUAACAUCAAAUUAAGAAUCAUAUAAGCUUUCAAGUAAUUUCCAUGAUUUUAGGUUGGGAGGUCUUGUGUACCAAUACACCAUUACUCACAAUACCACGACAUUCUUAACACGGAGUUCGAACACAACUCGAUCGGCUAGGUCGUCUCAUCUGAGUCAUCAACCAUAAUCACAAUUCCAUUUAUAAUUUCCAGCACAGUCACCACCAUGUGUGCAGUAUGGCAUCCGAUCACGGCCCCAUCGACUACGCCGUCUCACCCGAGACAUUACCAUUUCCUAUCAAUCAUGUCAUUUCAUACUUCUUUCACAUCUUUCAAUUCAUCUGCACUAGUGGCCAUAAUUGUUAUAUCAUACUUGGCACUUGGCUGUAUUUCAUAUUUCGUACUUAGUUUAUUCAUUCUCAAACGUUAUCAUCAUUGUCAACAACAAGCCUUUCAAUUCGAGAAAUUAAGUACACAUGUGAGCGAUUAUGAAUCUUAUGGAUGUAGAGAUUUUUACACAAUUUGGCAUAACAAUCUCUAUUCGAAUUUGACUUGAAUUCUAGGAAUUUAUUUUAUUCCAUAUUUUUAACACAUACUCAAAUAAUAAGAUGACAUGAUGAAAGCAUUAGAAUUCAAAUUGCACAUAUAGUUUUAAAAGCAAGCACGUUCGGAAUAGCAAUUUCUAUAAUGAUCAAUUUGGGACUUGCACCAGUUGAAUGAAAAUCAUGGGGUUCAUGUCACGACCCCAGUUCACCCUCCGUGAACUGUCGUGACGGCACCUAGUCUCUACGACUAGGUAAGCCUAAAAAAUGCGGAACAUAAAUGAAACUUGCGGAAGAAAUAAUCAACACCAAAAUAAUUGAAUGGAAACAAUAGUUAUAAUGUCACUCGGCAUAUACAACGCAACAUUCCCAAAACCAAGUACAUUAUCCAAAAACCCGAAAACUCACGGAAACACAAGCCUUUGGAAUAUCUAACAGUCUAACUCUAGAAUAUCUAAUAGGAAAGAAUAUAAAGAAGGGCAAUGUUUAACAGCUAGAAUAGAAAGGGACCUCUCGGUCUGUGGACGCGGCAGAUGUACCUCAAAGUCUCUAGAGCAGUCGCCUCCCUCUAAGAUGGUAGACCUGAGUAGCGGUACCUGGAUCUGCACAUGAAAAACAUGCACAGGAGAGGCAUGAGUACACCACAACGGUACUCAGUAAGUGUCAAGGCCCUACUGAGGUUAAAUAAAAUAAUAAGGUCAACAGUAUAGAACAAAACAAUAUAAAUAAGUACAACAGUGAAAUAACAUAGGAUGUACAGGACAUCAACGACCAUACAAAAACAAGGUAAACACGGAAAAGAAAUACAGCUCAGCACCAAUGAUAACGAUCGGGGAUCUCCCAGGAUACCGACCUGUAGUCCCAUAUGUACAUAUCUAAUGGAUCUCCCAGGAUCCCGUCCCGUAGUCCAACUCAUAGUGCACGAGGAUCUACCGAAAUCCCAUUCUGUGGUCCCAAAUAUAAAUACCCAGUACUAGGGGAAUCUACUGGGUGCAUUCCUGUAGUUCCAUAUAACUGUGCAGGGGGAUCUAUCGGAAUCCCACAUCCGUAGUCCCAAAAUAAACAGGCAAGGGAAAGCUACCGGAAUCCCACAUCUGUAGUCCCAAAAUGAACAGGCAAGGGGGAGCUACUGGAAUCCGACAUCAUUAGUCCCAAAAUAAAUACACAACAGCAACAGGAAAAUAUGCAGAAAUGGCAAUAUUUCAUAUUAAGGCAACAAGUGAUUCUAGCCUAGCAUGCUGCACAUAAUUCAAGUAAGACAGGUUGAACAAAUAAAGCAAUUAAGUCACUUAGACAUGCUUUCCAAAGCUAACAACGGGCUUAAUAGUGCAAGUAAUAGAAACAGGAAAGGAAACAUGCUAGUAAUUAUUUAAAUAAAACCGGAUUUCCAACAAUUAGCACAAGUACGCACUCGUCACCUCACGUACAAGGCAUUUCAAUUACCAAAUAUACCGAUCCUAAGGGAAGGUCCCCCACACAAGGUUAGACAAGCCACUUACCUCGAACCGGCUCAAAAAUCAAUCCGAAACCACGUUCUNNNNNNNNNNNNNNNNNNNNNNNNNGUAACUAAUUCUACAAUUAAAUUCUAAGCUAAUACGCAAAAUUAGGUAAAAUAACCAAAAUGCCCCUCGGGCCCACGUCUCGGAAUCGGGUAAAAUUUAUAGUUUCAUAAUUCUCAUACUCUCACGAACCAUAUCAAAAUUAUCCCAAUCCGAUGUCAACUCCCCAAUCGAAACUCAAUUUCUUGGUCUAAGAACUUUUCCCCAAUUUUAACCAAAAUUUCAAAAUUAAAGGAUGGAUUUAAGUGUAGAUUCAUGAAAAUUAGUCUAAACCGAGUAGGAAUCAUUUACCCAAAUUGCCCAGGUGAAAAUCUCUUCAAAAAUUGCAAUCUCCCGAGCUCCCAAGUCCAAAAUAUGAAUUAUGACUCAAACCCUCGAUUUUGGGUUUUAAAAAUCUGUCUAGGUAUUUCCUUCUUCGCGAACGCGGUCAAACCUCCAUGUUCGCGAAGCACAAAUUUAUGUUGACCAUUUUUCCUUCUUCGCGAAUGCGUCCCCUUCUUCGUGAACGUGAAGGCUCAGCUCCCAGCCCAUCGCGAACGCGACCCCCAUCUCGCGAACGCGUAGAUCAAGACCCCAGCCUUUCACGAACGCGGGACCUCCCUCGCGAACACGAAGGCCAAACCUUCAGCUCCACUUCCUAUCCCUUUGCGAAAGCGAUGGCCAGUCGCGAACGCGGAGAACAACUGGUCUGCAACACACCAACAGUUUUCUACAACUUCAAACAUCAAGAAAUGGUCUGGUUAACCACCUGAAACUCACCUGAGACCCCAGGACCUCAACCAAACAUAACAACAUAUCCUAUAACCUCAUUCGAACUUGUUCCAACCUUUGUAAUGCACAAAACAACAUCAAAACACCUAUUUCUCAUCGGAUUCAAGCCUAAGAAUUCCAAAAACUCUAAAAAUACGCUUUCGAUCAAAUAUUCUAUCAAACCUCGUCCGAAUGACCUGAAAUUUGCACACACGUCACAUUUAACACUACGGAGCUACUCCAACUUCCGGAAUUCCAUUCUGACCCUCGGAUCAAAAUCUCGCUAUCGAACCGGAAACUUCAAAAAUUCAACUUUCGGCAUUUCAAGCCUAAAUUAGCUACGAACCUCCAAAACACAAUCCGAACACACCCUAAGCCCAAAAUCACCCAAUGGAGCUGAUGGAACCAUCAGAUUUCCAUUCCGAGGCCGUCUUCACACUGUUCCGACUACGGUCAACUCUCUAACACUUAAGCUCUCAUUUAGGGGCUAAGUGUCCCAAAACUCUCCGAAACUCAAAAUCGAACAUCUCGGCAAAUCAAAUUAGUAGAAAUAAACUUGGGAAAAGCAAUUAAUAAGGGAUCGGGGCAUAAAUUCUUAAGACGAUCGGCCGUGUCAUCACAGUUCAAUUCUAAGAAGAGAGGGUUUUAGCCAUACAUACCUCAAUUGAGCUUCCUUAAACUCUACAAUAUUUCAGAACUCUUAAAAACUUCAAUCUAUUUUAGCAAUAUAACAAAUUGAACAAAAAAUUAGGAAAACGAUCAUGGUUCUAGCUCACUUAAGCAUUUUAACAAACACUAACUGUGUAUUAAGGUUCCAAGGUCCAUUUUAUGGAAGGCAUCAUCCAACAACCCAUUCAUCACCAUUGUUAGCUCACAAUCUCUCUACACUCUUUUAUCACACGUGCAUACGAGAUAAACAACUUUCAUACCCAUGAACCAUCUUACUAAUUACCCACUUCUAGAUAAUUUUCGAAAUUAAGGGCUAGGGUAUAGAUUCUUACCUCUUAGGAUGAAGACAAAGGGUGUUUUCCUUGAUAAUCUUCAAAGUUUAAGUAAGAAUUGAAGGGUAGUUUGAUGAAGAUCAAUAUUUCACUCUAGGGCUCUUUCUUUCACUCCAUAGUAUUAGAUUUUUCUAAAAAAUGUCCCCUUACAUAUUUUUUAACGAAGUAGGGUCGGGUUUAAAAAUUAGAAAAAUAGGAGCCCCGACACAGAUCUGUGGUCGCAUAUGCGACCGCAUAAUGCUUCUGCGGUCCGUAAAAUGGGCCGCAUAAUGGCCCUCAGGGACUAGAAUUUUCUGCUUCAUUCUACGACCGUUCUACGGUCCGCAGACCUAUUUUACGGUUGCAUAAUGCGCCACAGAACAUCCCUCCGAGAAUUUCUAUGUGGAGUAUGCGAUGGAUUGUGCGGCCUGCAAAACAAUUAUGCGACCGCAUAAUGGACCGCAUAUUGGUCCAAGAAUUAGCUUAGAUCUCUGCUUCACUCAGCGGCAUAUCUGCGGUUCGCAGAUCAGUUCUGCGGACGCAGAAUUGGCUGCACAAUAUGCCCUACACUUCAAAUAAUUUUCUUCAGCUCACCAACACACUGCUCAGCCCUAAAGUCUGUACCGCGACUCGCAAGCUUACCGUGAAGAAUCUCUACAAUCUUUAACACAUAAUCCUAACUCGGCAACAUGAGAAUCCGGGUUUUAGGUAAAAAUUUAUGGGGCCUUACAUGUGGAGACAAUUCCGGGAGAGGAAAGGGUGGACAUGGUUCACUAAAAGCAUGGUGGAUGCCAGAGAGCACCUUGUCCGGAAAUUUUACGCCAAUGUGGUACAUAUCAAGAAGGGAACCAAGGUGACAAAAGUGAGAAACUUAAAGGUAAGAUUCGAUCAGAGAAACCUGAACACAUAUUUAGGGUUUGAGGAUGUAUAUCCAGUGCAAUAUCCAGAGACGUUUGCACUGGGUGAUGUAGCUCGCCCUUGGCUAGCUGAGAUUUGGCAGCUCCAGGACCACCACUACCAUGGAUCACAGCAAGGGUUCCUAUUCAGUGGAACACCCUCAAGUUUGAAGCAAAAGGAUGGCAGACCUUUGUGUGCAGUCAAUUAGACCCGUUCCAAAAUGAAAACAAUCUCCCAAUUCUGAGAUCAGUUCUAGUUGCUUCCAUCAUGGUCGGGUACCCAAUAAAUGUGGGUGCCGUGAUGUCGGCCAACAUAUCUCUGGUUGCUAGGCAAUGUGACAGCUCCUACCCUUAUCCCAACACUAUUACGGAGUAUCUUAUGGAUGCGGAGGUGGAGUUAAAGAACUUUAACAUGAAGGUUCGGGAAAAGAAGCCCUUCACUUGGUACUCUCUGAAGGACCUGAGGAACCCGAAGAACGAGGGUCAGUCAACUACUACUAUAGGCCAGUCUGAUGAGCCUUAGUGGUAGUUACAGAUUCAGUAGCCAUGACUUCCACAGUAGUCGGGCCUUCCACUAAUAUAGCCGCCAUGCCUCCACCUCCAUCUUCAGGGCCGUUAGCAUCAGUUCCUUCCACUUCUACUUUGAGGCUGGUACAUUGCCUGCUCAUCCACUUUCUACAUUGCGAGUCUCCCAGAUACUGGCGAGCCUCAACUACUGGAUGCAGACAGCUACUGCAAAGCUGUUUGACCUAUCUAGUGUUGUUGUAGCAUAGACAUCCACCCCGGCACCCUAAAUUUCUCUGAUAGUGGAGGACAUUUUGAAGAAGACUAUGGAGACAUAAGACCAUCAUGGAUACUUUGGUGGCACAUGGACGCGCGAUUGAGGAGCUUGGGAAGCAGGUAAAGAAGAUGAGGAAAGCCCAGACAUCCAAGAAAUUAGUGGACAAAUUGAGGAGAGAGGUCACCAAGAUAGCAGCCGUUGGGAACCUUCCAUUUGAUUUGCUGAUGGAGACAGCUCCAGCAGCACCAGUAGACCCAGCAGCACCAUCAGCACCAGUGGCACCAGUUGACCAGUCUGAGGAUCUAGACCUCGAUGCUGACACUGCUGAGGCGGUGCGCCAGAUGUUAGCCCGCCCAGCUACUCCCAGAGCAGAGGAUGAUGAGAUCCAGUUGGAGGAGCUUGAGGGCGGUAAUGAUGCUAUGGACACAGAGAUGUCCAAGAUCACAUAAGGAGUCCUCUUUACUCUUUCCCUUCCUUAUUCUUAUUUUGUUAAGCAUUGGGGACAGUGCUUAUUCUUAUUCCGGGGGGGGGGGUGGAGUUUAUUUGAUUUGAUAUUUGACAUUGAUUUGUAAUAACUGAUAACAUUUUCUUUUUCGUUUCAUUAUGUACAUAUUCUUCUCCCUCUCUACUGAUGUAUAUUUUUUCUUUCUUCCUCUCUCAUUUUGUAUAUUCAUUUAUUCUUUCACUAACUUAUCUUGUAGCUUCUUUAUUUUGUUUUCUUAGUAAUCAAUUUUUAAUCUAAUAGCUUAUUGUUUACUUUAAUAGUUUCUUUUUAAUCUAGUAGUUUCUUUUCAUGUUCAAGUGAACAAUAAGCCUUUGAUUUUUUUAAUGCCACGGUUCUUUCCAAAGGUAGUUUUUGUGUGAUUGGGUGACUCUUCUCAACGAUGGAUGACGUGAUAACCUUCUUAAGGGAUUGAGUCCGUUUUUUAUGUUUAGUUAAGAAUAGUAGUAAUAAUGAAUAAAAAGACCUAAUUGAGUUAGGCUAGAAGAGUCAAACAUGCUUCACUUGGUACCAACACAUUUAACUAUGUGCUUAUGAUUAAAAACAAGUUCUUGGAAAGAAAUAUCUCUAGUUAGUGACCUUCUAACUCUUGUGUUGACUUAAGCAGUCAUCCAGUGGUUUAGCGAACCAUUAGUGAUUUUCAUUCUUAAAUAUGAUUGUUGUGGGGCCCGUACUCUAUCCUCUGUAACAAUCCAGUUGUGUGAGAGUUGAGAUAUUUUUGUUGCAAGUCCAAGUACCCGUGUGAAUGAACUAGAACUUGCCCCCAAUGUGUUUCUAGACAAAAGUUUAAGUUUUGCUUGUCUUGAGAAGUGAUUGUAGGAUCUCCUUGACCUGAUUGAAAUUUUCCAUGUCCCACCAAUGUUGUUAUCCCUAGUCAACCCUUUUGAGCCUAAAAUCUUUCUCAUUUGAUAACCAUGUUACAAGCCUUUACCCAUUUUGUAAUGACCCUCUCUUGGCAUCCAAGCUUUCCUUAACACUCUUGAGAAAAAAUUGGCUAAAACAUAAGUCUGGGGGAGAGACAAGGAGGUUGAAAGUGGUAUCAAGGCACAAAAAGAGAAAAGAAAGGCAAGGAAAAAAGAAAGAAAGAACAAACGGAAAAUGCAAAAAGAAAGCGAAUAAGUUGAAGAGUUGAAGGGAAUCAAAGAAAAGUAACGAUGCAAAGCAUGGAGAAAAUAAAGAAGGAGAAAAUGAAUAUCAUUACCAAGAAAGAGUGAUGUUAAGUCUUCCUAGUUCCCCCAAGGAAAAAAGAUGCCUCAAAGAGUCGGCAAAACAUGAGCCAAAAAGAGAAAAUGGAGUGCUUAUGGAAAGAUGAACCCGUUCUAUUCCAACAUAUCCAACCUUAGUCCAAAAGCCUUCAUUACAUUCUGAAAAAGCCCUACGUGAUUUCAAGUCGAGUGAACUUACAUUAGUGGUGAUCUACAUGAGGGGCAAGCAUAUGGUACUUAUAGCCGUAAUUGUAACAUUCUUUUGAGAGAGAUGAGCAAACUUUUCACAAAUCUUGGAAUUGAGUGAUACAUUAUUAAGUGAGAUAUGCUAACGGAGAGUAGAGGAGGAAGAGUUUGGGAUCCACAAUGACCUACAUGAAAGAGCGAGCUUCCUUGAUGAAUAAAGUCAACUCUUGAUGCUUAAGUGUCACAUUAGAACUAUUUGUGCUUAAAAAUUUAGAUCAUUGUCUUGUUGAUAAUUCAUAAGCGUUGUGGAUAAUUAUUGGUCCUAAUUGAUGUGUGAUUGAUGCAUCUUAGACUAUCUUGCAUAGCUCUUAACUUGUGGAGCUGGAAAAUACCUUAUUUGCUUGAGGACAAGCAAAAGCAUAAGUUUGGGGGAGUUGAUAAGUGAGGAUUUGACUACUUAUUAGCGCCAAUUUAGCUUUCGUUUUAUUCCAAAAGUGUUUAAUUGUAUUCCCGAAAACUGAUGAAAUAUGCUUAAUUACAGGAGUAUUGGAAAAUGAUCCAUUAAGAUGAAAUCUAACUCAAGAAGGAGUAAUCUAAACUCAAGGACAAAAUCAGGCACAAAAUCUCAAAGUGCGGACCCAAAUUUCCAUCUGCGGCCACAGAUUGUGAAGGAAAGUUUAUCAGAGGCCAAGUUCAAAGUACUGUCCGCAUAUGAAUUGUGAGCCUGCAGAAGUUAAGAAAGAUCAGAAGUUCAGAGAGUUCCCAUUUCAUGCUCAAAGGAAGUGUGCAUCGCAUAAUUAUUGUGCAGCCGCAAUAGUCAACUACAUGGCCGCACUCGGAAAUGUAUGGUCUGCAGAAGAGCCCUAUGCGGCCGCACCCAGAAAUGUGCAGACCGCAGAACAUGAGAGAUGUGGCCGCAAGAAUUUUGUGGCCGCAGAACCUCCGAAAGGGCAUUUUUGUCCGAAAAAAUCCAUCCUCGUAUAAAUAGAAUAGUUUCACGAAAUUAGGUCAAGUUUUGAAUAUUCAGAGUGUUGUAGCCGUUUCUUCUUGCUUCUUUAGGAAACUUUAGCUUAUUUUGGUGAUUUAACAUUGGAUUUUUAUAUUUUAAUCUUUCAAUAUGAGUUUAAUUAUGUUUUCAUCUUUGUUUUCUUUUAUACUCACUAUGAGUAGCUAGAUUUUUACUUAGGUUGUGACCCAAUCCUAUCACACCUCCUUUUUACCCAAAAGGGGGUAUAAGUGAGUUUUUCCAAUUUAAGUGACAUUUUUCGAAAUGGCAUUUUUUAUUUAUUUUCAAAGUCUCCACUUGGGACAUUUAUGGCGUCCCAAGUCACCGAUUUAUUUUGAAUCCCAAAUCGAGAAAAUUGACUCUUAUAUAUGGUCCACGAAUACAGUAGACCGGGUAAGGAAUUCUGUUAACCCGGGAGAAGGUGUGAGGCACUCCCGAGUUUCGUGGUUUUAGCACGGUCGCUCAACUAUUAUUAAUUGGCUUAAGUAUCUGAUUUACUACAUAUUUAAAACCUAUUGUGCAUGUUUUAACUUUUAAUAGCUUUUAGUAUUUAUGGAGUUAUUUCUGGAACAAAUCACGAUUGUCGUACACUUGUCGUUUUGGUAUACAUCGCGAAUUGCGUCACAUGAAAUGCACCCGCGACUUACAACAUGUUAAUUUUAUUAUUAUUCUGUAACGAUCCGGCCGGUCAUUUUGAGCAUUUGCAUUUUGCUCAUCGGUUCUCGGGCAUGACUAGCCUUGUAUAAUAUAUUAUGACUUAUGUAAAUCAUCGGUUUUGAUUUUUAGGUGGAACAAAACAUAUAUGGAAGAAUGGUUCUCAGCUUAAGGCUUAAAAUUUGAGAGGAUAGACCAAGUCUUUGACUUUUAGUAUUCGAUCUUGGAUUUGAAUUUUUAUGAUUGGAUUAGCUCCGUUGGAUGAUUUCGGACUUAGGAGCGUGUUCAGAACGUAAUUUGGAGGCCCGUGGUAGAUUUAGGCUUGAAUUGGCAAAAUUGGAAUUUUUGCGCUUUCCAGUUGGUAGUGGAAAUCUUGAUAUCGGGGUCAGAAUCGAAUUUCAGAAAUUUGAGUAGGUCUAUAGUGUCAUUUGUGAUGUGUGUGCAAAAUUUCAGGUCAUUUGGAUUUGAAUUGAUAGGUUUCGAUAUCGUUUGGGGAAUUUGAAAGUUCAUAAGUUCUUAAGCUUGAAUCCGAAGUUGAUUUUGUAUUUUUGUGUUGUUUUUAGUGAUUCGAAGGCUCGACUAUGUUUUAAUGAUGUUAUGGGAGGUGUUGGUAUGUUUGGCUUGAGGUCCCGAGGGCCUCGAGUGAGUUUUGAGAGUUCGGGCAUUAUCGGGACUCAGGCAUUGGUUCUGGUUCUUAAAUUUACAGCUAGGGUGGAAGGUUUACCGCUGGGGGUGGUGGUUUUACUUUUGGGGCGGAAAAUGGUCCGCGAUCCGCCAUAAGGGGCCCCUUUCGGAGUUUGUACAUUCCUAGUGAGCGCGGGUACCUAGUGUGAGUGAUAUGUUGUAACUUGAGGGGCUGUUGUUGUUUCAUAUUGAAGCUCGAGGGGCUCUUGUUGAUCCAUGUUUUCUCAAGGGGAGGUUCUUGAUUCAUGUUAUGCCCGAGGGGCUAAUUACGAGUGAUAGUGAGGUAGCCCGAGGGGCUGGUUCUAUUGAUAUUAUGCCCGAAGGGCGGUUCAUGGUACAUGUUUUGUCUGAGAGGCCAUUUAUGUUUUCCUUCAUUUUUACUCACUAUUUUAUCACUCAUUUAAAACUAUUGAAAGUUGUUUUAAAAGGUUUUACCGAAAUUGAGCUUGAUUUACGAAGUAAAUGAUUUUUUUACUAUUUUGGAAAGGUAUUGUAUUUGCUAUAGUGUUAUGACGUGGCUUACGUGUUUUCUUACUGCUCAGCUUUCAUUUACUUUUAUUACUUACUGAGUUGGCAUACUCACAUUACUCGCUGCACCUUGUGUGCAGAUUCAGGUAUUUUUGAACCCGGUAGCGGGUGUUGAUUGCUCAGUGGCAGAGUCAUUGGAGUUAGCAAGGUAGCUGCUGGAUGUUCGCAACCCUGUUUUUCUCCUCUUGUAUCCCUUAGGUUGUUUUUAGUAUAUUUUCAGACCUUAAUAGAUGCUCGUGACCUGUGACACCCCGAUGUCGGGCUUGUGUAUUUAUUACUAUUCAUUUAGACUUACAUUAUGAGAUAUCUGAUUGAUUAAAGGCUUAAAAUGAUUGUUAUUGAUUAAAUGGUUAAUUUGGGAGUUGUGUUGGCUGGCCUAGUUUCACGAUAGGCACCAUCACAACCGAGUAAUUUUUAGGGUCGUGACAAGUUUGUAUCAGAGCCUAGGUUACAUAGGUCUCCUGAGUCAUGAGCAGGUUUAGUAGAGUCUCGCGGAUCGGUAUGAAGACGAUUGUACUUAUCCUCGGGAGGCUGCAGAACCUUUAGGAAAAACUUCACAUUCUUGAAUUCUUAUCGUGCAUCCUUGAUUCAGCUUGAAAUGUAACUCCUUUAAUUCCUUCCACGCCUUCGUAUGCGCGCAUGAACGCUCAGUAUCAGAUGUGCAUCGAUGUCUUGUGAUUCCUUGAUCAUGGGGCGAGAUGUGAUCUCUGUGUGUUGAUAUUGGGCCAGUCUCGAGGACUUGAGACUGGGUUUUACCUGUAGCUUGAGCACUAAGGUGCUGAUUGUGUGAGCACAUGCUUUUUGAAUUUAUGUGUUCGAUAGUGUCCCUAUUAGUGGAAGUGAUGGCUGGAUGACUAUGUGAUGAGUAUGAUGUGACUGUGAGGUGUGUUUAUAUGAUUUGAAUGAGGCGAGAAGGGUCUACUUGGGGGCAUAAAGAACUAUUUGGUGCUUGAUUUCCAUCUUGAUUUGAUGUAUAGCCCCGAGUUAUCGGAGUGUGAAGAAUCAUUUCAUGUUUUCUAGUUGGGGAGUGGAGUAGAUUUCGUGUUACGAUAUGAGUUCAGACUCAAGAAGCUUAAGCGACUGCGUAAUGUUUAUGACGAUGGAAGGGGUAUGAAGAGCUAUUAGUUUGAGGCAAAGCAGGUGGGUUAUCUCCUGUAGAGUGUUCUGAAGUUUGUGUGAUCAUUAUGUUAUUUGUUGGAAGAUCUCUUUUACCAGUGGAAUAGAUGUGUUGCAAUUUGAAUUUGGGUCGCUUAAGAGAGUAGGCUUGACUGUUACGAGGGUGAAUGCGAGAUUUGCAGAAGAUUUGAAGUACUAGAUGGUCUGUGUUGCACGAACUUAUGAAUGAUUGAGUUUAAUAUCACUAUGGUAUUAUGGUAGUAAUAGAGUAUAUGCAUUAUGAGUUAUUGUGUGUUUUAAUCUAUGGCUUUGAGCCAAGUGGGGGGGUCUGCUAUUGAUUAGUUGAUUGCACGAUUUUGUGCUAUGUUAGUUCCAGUUUGAGGCAUACUGGUGAAUCAGUUAUGGCUUACGGAGGUUGAGACCGAGGAUGGCUCAAGUAAAGCAAAUUUUAAUAAAGGUUAUGUUAUGCUUUAUGGGUGUAUGAGAAUCAUGGAAUGACUUGAGUUGUUAUUAGUAAAGGAUGUACGGUGCAUAGAACAGGAAGUUGCUUGGUUGCGUUAAGGAGAGGUUACAUUAUGUGGUGUCAGAGUACUAAUGGAGCAUAGGUUGUUUGGUCUGUUUGAUCGGUCUAAUUGCGGUUUGAGUAGAGUGGGUGACUCUCAAGAAUGGUUCUAAUGGGUUCAAGAUUUUACAUGCAGUAAUUGGAUAUUUUUAGGUUGUAUAUUUGGCUGGAAACCGGGGUCUACAUUGGAGGGUGUCAAGACUUGCAGCAUUUCUAUAUCAAUUCUGGUAUUCUAUGUAUCAGUAUCAGGAAGGUGAAAGUAAUGUCUUUGGAUUCGCAGGAAGUCUCUUCAGGGUAGGUAAUUUGAAUGUGGUGCUUUUGGAAAUGUUUAAGAGAGUAUUCAGUGGCUUAUGAGCCUUAAAUGGUGUUGUUUUAAGUUUGGGUCUCGUGUGGUGAGUCUGGGUUGAGGAAUUGCGGCAUUAUGGCAAGGAGAAGUAUCAAUUUGAAGGUAAUUUAGAAGGAACUUGGAUAAAUAGGACAUUGGUAGUAGGUCGGAUCGGCAUGGUAAGGGUUAUGAUUAGUUCUUUAGGUGCUUAUGAGGUAAUGAGUUUCUACAGGUGUUUCGCGGCAAUGCUGUUAGGAUUUAGUGGCCUGCGUAGCUUGGUUGAGUUAGAAGGAUUCAGUCCUGACGGUUUAGUUUUGUGCAAAUGGAAUUCGGAGAGCUCUUGAUGGUUUCUACCAUGGUGAGAGAUUUAUAUUUGCUACAAGCGUGAGGAGCAUGAUAUGUAUAGCGAUUUUCUUAUAGAAGGGAUCAAUGGAAAGUUCUUAGCUAGUUGGGUACGUAGUUGCUUGUGGCUCGGAAGGGGUUAUGAAGUUCUUAUAUUUAUCAUAGGACGGUUGAAAUUUGCAUGUGUAAGGUCACAGUUCAGUUCUGAAAGGAAGGUUCAUAAAUUCUUAGAUAGCAUGGGCAGUUUCAGAUGAUUAGGCAAAUGAUAUUGCUAAAUGGUGUGGCCUGAUAAGGGCAUACGUUUCAGAAAGGGAAAUGUGAUUGAGUUAAUAAUAUAUCAUUGGUAUCGUGGCUCUCUCUUGGUGGAUCGACUACUGAUAUUCGGGUUUUCUUGGUGGCACAAAAGAAUUUUUGGAGUAUCUCGUGGAAUGAUUAGGUAUUAGAGGUAUGAUAUGUAUUCAGACGACGGAAUUUGGUUUGGAUAUGGCGAUUCGAGUGCUUUAUGGACUUGGAGACCAGGAGUUCUCAUAGACAAGUUAUGUUAUGGUUGUGGGUCACGCGUAUCAGCCUAGUGUGGUGACUAUUGUGGGUUUGGAAACCCGAGUGGAUCCUUUGUUGCUUGGUAUGUUAGAUUUUGGAUGUGAUAUUGGGUAUAGACUGGUUGUCUCGGUAUUAUGUUAUUCUGGGCUGUUGCGCUAGGGCAGCGGCAUUAGCUAUGCCAGGAAUGCCACAGAUUGGGUGGCGAGGUUCGAUGAAUUAUGUUUUCAGUAGGGUGGUUUCAUUUUUGAAGACCCAACAGAUGGCUGGGAAGGGUUGUCUUUCUUAUUUGGCCUUCGUGAGGGAUGUCAGUACAGAGACUCCUACCAUUGAUUCAGUUCCCGUGAUGAGGGAUUUUUCCGGAUGUAUUUCCUAUUGUCGGGCAUGUCGUCGGACAAGGUUGUUGAUUUCGGUAUUGAUUUGGUGUCGGGCACCGUAUUGUAUGGCAUCGGCGGAGUUAAAGGAGUUGAAGGAGCAGCUUCAGGAACUCGUCAAUAAGGGGUUCAUUAGUAGACCAAUAUGGAUGUGUGUUCUACAUCGAGUCGGCUUGGGUGACUUCGAGUUGUAUUGUUGAGGGAUAUGUUGAUUCGAUUGUUAUUGAGCUUGUUAGUGAUUUGGGGAGAUCUAUGAGUUACCUUUCCGUGUUGCGAGGUGUUAGGAUUUGUUGGUUAUAAGCACAUGUGGUGCGGUUUUAUUGAGGUCUCUCAAUGGAAUUUGAGCAGAAAGAGUAUUGGGUAUUGCUCGGCGGAUGGCGUAUCAGUUGUGUCCUUUCGGGUUUGUGUAAUGUUAUGUUAGUUACUUUUCCAUGGUUAUGAUGAUCUGCUUUGGUUCUAGACAUCAAAUUACGCAUGGUUGUCGAUUUCGAGCAUAGUGACUUAAGGUAUCUCAUGUGGAACGGUGUUUGGAUAGGGUCGCACAUUGCAGUGAAGUUAUAUGGAGGUAUGACCCUUCGGGUUAGAUUCGUCUGUUCUAUUUCUACGAUGUGUGACGGGUUCUCAGCAUUAUGUGUGGUGAUACUGGUGAGCUUGUGGUACAGAUCUCUCAUUAGAGUCAUUUUUCAUGGUUUGAGUAUGUUCGGAUCGUUGCUUAUUGGUGUGCGGAUUGUACGAGUUGUGGCUCUAGAUUGUAUAGAUGUGUCAUGUCACCAAAGUAGUUGUGUUGGAUUAGAUGAGAUCGUUGGGAUCUAGAAUGAAUACAAACAUAUUUGGUCUCAGCGUGUUGGAAGGAUAAUAUUGAUGUUCGGCUUAGAUAUUUGCUAUGGUCCUUGCCAAAGGAGAAGUGGCUUCACGGAUUGUUGAUCUGAGGAAUGGUUAUGACUUUCUAUGUGUUUCAUUUAUCAUUGGCAGUAUACGGAAGUGUUGGAAUGAGGCUAUAUUUGAUAAGAGGUUUAUUAUUGAUAUUCUGUUGUUCUGAGCAACUGCUGUGAACAGAAGUUAUCUCUACGAGAGUUAGAGUUAUGUGGUAUAUCAUGUAAUUGCAUCUCAGGUUGUUGGUAUGGCUUGUUACAGCUUGUUCGGGCUUAUUCAAAGUAUAGAUGUGAAAUUAUGAUCUUGUAGAUGAUUUCAGAAGUGGAAAUGUGGUUCUAAGGUUUAUAGGCUAGGUUGGAUUGUGAAAUUUCAGUUGCAUUGUGUUAUCGCACCUAUAUGAGAUAGAGUGACGUGGGAUCACCCCCGGGUAUGUGCAUGGUAAGGUUACACAGCGAUUUGAUGGUUUUCGGAACAACUUUGAACACGUUCGAGGAUGAACGUAUGUUUAAGUGGGGGAGGAUGUAACGACCCAACCAGUCAUUUUGAGCAGUUGCAUUUCGCUCGUCGGUUCUCGGGCAUGACUAGCCUUGUAUGAUGUAUUAUGACUUAUGUAAAUCGUCGGUUUUGAUUUUCAAGUGGAACAGAAAAGAUAUGGAAGAAUGGUUCUCAGCUUAAGGCUUAAAUUUGAUAGGUUUGACCAAGUCUUUCACUUAGAGUACUCAAUCUCGGAUUUGAAUUUUUAUGAUUGGAUUAGCUUCGUUGGGUGAUUUAGGACAUAGGAGCGUGUUCGGAACGUAAUUUGGAGGCACGUGGUAGAUUUAGGCUGAAUUGGCAAAAUUGGAAUUCUGGCGCUUUCCGGUUGGUAGUGGAAAUCUUGAUAUCGGGGUCGGAAUGGAAUUCCGGAAAUUUGACUAGGUCCAUAGUGUCAUUUGUGGCGUGUGAGCAAAAUUUCAGGUCAUUCGGAGUUAAAUUGAUAGGUUUCGGCAUCGUUUAUAAAAUUUGAAAGUUCGUAAGUUCUUAAGCUUGAAUCCGAAGUUGAUUUGGUAUUUUAGUGUUGUUUUGAGUGAUUUGAAGGCUUGACUAAGUUUUAAUGAUGUUAUGGGAGAUGUUGGUAUGUUUGGGUUGAGGUCCCGAGGGCCUCGGGUGUGUUUCGGGUGAGUUUUGAGCGAGUCCGGGCAUUACCGGACUUAGGCAUUGGUUCUGGUGCUUAAAUUUAUAGCGGGGUGGAAGUUUAACUGCUGGGGGUGGUGGUUUUGCCGCUGGGGCGGAAAAUGGUCCGCGGUCCGCGGUGAGGAAGAAUCUGCAGGUUCACUGGUCUAACUUCGGAAGCCUAUAUCUUUUGAUCUACAAGGAAUUUUGAGAUAAUUCAAAAAUAAAAGUUGUAUACCUUCGUGUCUAGUUUUCAGAAAGCUAAAGAUAUCACAAUUUGGACAUCUGUAGAGAAGGUUAUGGCCAAAAUACUAAAGCAUAUUACUGCAAUCAACAUUUUCCGUUGUAGCAGUGGAUUUAACGCGGUCAGCGGUGAUGGACCGCGGUCAGUGGUGGUUUUACCUCGGUCAGCAGUGAUGGGGAUCUGAAAGGUGCACUAUAAAUAUGAGAUUUGGGGUUUUAUUUUAUAUUUUGACCUACAAAGCUCGGGCUUUGGUGAUUUUUCGAGGGAGUUUCAAGAAAACCAUUGAGGUAAGUGAUUCUAACUCAAUUUUUGCUAAAAUACAUUAUUAUAACAUUGGAUUCAUCAUUUGAGUAGAGAUUUGGGAUAUAAAUUUGGGGGAAAUUGUGGAACUUCAUAAAAAGAAUUUUCUGGAUUUGAAAGCCGAUUCGAAUUCGGAAUUGAGUGAAACUAGUAUGGAUAGCCUCGUAAUUGAAUGGGUUGUCGAAUUUUAAAACUUUAGUCGGAUUUCGAGACGUGGGCCUGGGGGCGGGGUUUGAGCAAUUUCGGGAUUCUUGAGUUAAUUUGAUUACUUUUGCCUGGGCUUUGUUCCUUUAGCGUAUAUUGAUGACAAUAUACUGAUUUUUGUUAGAUUUGGAGCAUUUGGAGGCCAAUUCGAGAGGCAAAGGCAUCGCAGGCUAGAGUUUGGACCGGUAUGAGGUAAGUAAUGAUUGUAAAUAUUGUCCUGAGGGUAUGAAACCCUGGAUUUCACAUCGUUAUGCUACUUUGAGGUGACACACACGUUAGAUGAUGAGCGUGGGGUGAUGCACCGUUGGGGAUUGUGACCUUGUCCGUCUUGUAUGACUGUUAAGUCACGCAUUUGAUUAAAACUUGUUCGAUAUCAUUGUGUUUUGGAAAGCAUUAUCAUGUUUUGGGCUGAAUUCCAUAUUUGGGCCUCGUGCCAACUGUUUUGGACCCUUAAGGGAUUUUUACUACUAUUCCUUAUUGUUUUGACUUCAUAUCUAUACUCAGUCAUGUUGUAUUCUAUUGCUUCCAUAGCUCAGCCAUAUUUACUCCGUUUUGAUAUUUUUAAAUAAUAAUUUGGGCUGAGCAUCAUGUUUUACAGUUUCCUGAGUGGCUUGAGAGAUUUCUAACUGAGUGAGGCCGAGGGCCUGUGUUGUGAGGAUAUUAUGGGAUCGGGCUGCGCGCCGCAGUAGUGUGGUACUAAGUUAUGAUUAUGAGGCCGAGGGCCUAAUUUGUUACGCCACGAGGUAUCUUUAUAUAAGGCCAAGAUCCUAUUUGAUUAUGCCACGAGAUGGCUUAUUAUUGUGCUUGGGUCGUAAAGGGCCCCUCUUGGAGUCUGUACACCCCCAGUGAGCGCGGGUACCCGGUAUGAGUGAUAUGUUGUAGCCCGAGGGGUUGUUGUUGUUUCAUAUUGAAGCCCAAGGGACUAUUCUUGAUCCAUGUUUGCCCGAUGAGCAGUUCUUGAUUCAUGUUAUGCCCGAGGGGCUGAUUACGAGUGAUUGUGAGGUAGCCCGAGGGGCUGGUUCUGUUGAUAUUAUGCCCGAGAGGCAUUUCAUGGUACAUGUUUUGUCCGAGAGGAUGUUUAUGUUUUCCAUCAUUUUUACUCACUGUUUUAUCACUCAAUUGAAACUAUUGAAAGUUGUUUUAAAAGGUUUUACCGAAACUGAGCUUGAUUUACGAAGUAAAGGAGUUCUGUACUGUUUUGGAAAGGUAUUGCAUUUGUUGUAGCGUUAUGACGUGGCUUACGUGUUUUCUUACUGCUCAUCUUUCAUUUACUUUAAUUACUUACUGAGUUGGCGUACUCACAUUACUCCAUGCACCUUGUAUGCAGAUUCAAGUAUUUUUGAACCCGAUAGCGGUUGUUGAUUGCUCAGUGGCAGAGUCAUUUGAGUUAGCAAGGUUGCUGCCCGAUGUUCGCAACCCUGUUUUUCUCCUCUUGUAUCCCUUAGGUUGUUUUUAGUAUAUUUUCAGACCUUAGUAGAUACUCGUGACUUGAGACACUCCGAUGUCAGGCUUAUGUAUUUAUUCUACACUAUUCAUUUAGACUUACAUUAUGAGAUAUCUGAUUGAUUAAAGGCUUAAAAAUGAUUGUUAUUGAUUAAAUUGUUAAUUUGGGAGUUGUGUCGGCUGGCCUAGUUUCACGAUAGGCGCCAUCACGACCGGGUCAGUUUUAGGGUCGUGACAUAUUCGAAGUUAUGGUUGGGUCACAUGAAUUGCACACCCGAAUUGGGAGAUUACAUAUCGUGACUAUGCCACGGGAACCGUACCCAUAGUCAUGAUAAUUUAUUAAUCGCGCCUAAAGCAAGCUACGAUGUGCAUAAGUUGAUUUUUUUAUAGUAAAGACUAAAUUUAAUCUGAUUGUUGAUGAUGGCUAUUGAAAUCACACUAGUAAGAUCAUUGCAUGAUCAAUUCAUUGUUUGGAAGAGACAAAGUUAACAAUUGCCUAAGGCUUAACUAGAGUUCGACAUUCACAUUCCAAUUACCGAAUGUGGUUCAAGAUUUGCACCAGAAAAAUUAAGGUAAAAUCUUGAUCACAAUAGCAAUACAGGAUUUCACAUACAAUAACAUCUGUUAUUUUUACAAAGGGGACAAGAAUAGAAAUAUGAAUGCACUUAAACAGAAACAACAAAAGCCAAAGUUGCCAACUUUAACGAAAGACAAAUUGGGAUUGACAUUAGCGCUGAAAUAAUUAAAAAGACAAUGAGUUGUCAUACUGGUAGUAUCCCAAAGACCCAAAUUCACAAUCUUCUGAUCUUAAUAAGCAGACAUGGUUAUUUUCCUUAUAGAUUCUAAUAUUUUACCUCAAAUUUAGCACAUGAAACAAUACCUACUACACAUGAUUUCACUUUCAGAAAAAUGGAAACACACAUCUAUCUCAGAUGUUCAACAAUCAAACCAACUAGUUGCUGUUAGGUAAAUUUCCUUUAUCCUUUUAGAUGUGAACAAAAGGAGGAAAAAUUUAGAGUUAUAUGAAGGUAUUAUUUAAUUUAUUGUAUUGAUAAGGUCCUAUAUCACUUCAAUCAGCUGAACUAAAAUAAAAAUCGACAAAUCCAUACUGUGAACGAACAGAAAACAUCAAAGAACAAUUCCACCAUAUAUACACAAACAAAUUUCAGCAAAUUUAUAGUACAUGAAUGUCCGAAUAACCAUUACAUUUCGAGAUUGAGAUAAAUACCUCUAAACAGCAGUAGAGAUAAACUUGAAUAACCAAAUAAAGUCGAAGGAAAAGCUGGAGCUCAGCGAAAGUAGAAACAGCAAAACACAUCUUCAGCUUCUAAAAUCAAAAUCAAAACUCGAACACCCAAAAUUGGAGAGAUAAAGCAACGAAAAGCAGCAAAGCCUUUGAAACUCCCUGUUCCCCCGAUUUUCUUCUAGUUUUGAAACCUCUUUUAUUAUUUUCAGCUUUCAAAAUCUUUCAAAACUUCCAAUUUCUUUUUGUUUUAUUUGUUUGUUGAUAAAUGCUUUUGUUUGUGUGUGUGUAAUUUUUGUAUAUGCAGGGAAGUGAAAUGGAUGGUUGACUGAGAAGUCGAUGUACUAGGAGCUACGACUGGGGAUUUUUGUUUUUAGGGAGGGGUAGGCCUACACGUCAUUUCUGAUCAGAAAGAGAGAGGGGAAUCCAGGCGCUGGUCCUCUUUUUGUU
This 19706-nucleotide long non-coding RNA is filed under the name Nicotiana tabacum (common tobacco). Its description in RNAcentral is "long non-coding RNA (NTAB_LNC013253)". Lineage: Eukaryota; Viridiplantae; Streptophyta; Magnoliopsida; Solanales; Solanaceae. The record is from RNAcentral.